UACGGAAGGCAGCAGUGGGGAAUAUUGCACAAUGGGCGAAAGCCUGAUGCAGCUAUGCCGCGUGUAUGAAGAAGGCCUUAGGGUUGUAAAGUACUUUCAUCGGGGAGGAAAAAACAAAACUAAUAAUUUUAUUUCUUGACGUUACCCGAAAAAGAAGCACCGGCUAACUCCGUGCCAGCAGCCGCGGUAAUACGGAGGGUGCUAGCGUUAAUCAGAAUUACUGGGCGUAAAGAGCACGUAGGUGGUUUUUUUAAGUCAGAUGUGAAAUCCCUGGGCUUAACCUGGAACUGCAUUUUGAAACUGAAAUACUAGAGUAUCGUAGAGGGAGGUAGAAUUCUAGGUGUAGCGGUGAAAUGCGUAGAUAUCUGGAGGAAUACCUGUGGCGAAAGCGGCCUCUAAACGAAUACUGACACUGAGGUGCGAAAGCGUUGGGGAGCAAACAGGGAUUAGAUACC
RNAcentral lists this ribosomal RNA (455 nucleotides) under uncultured bacterium. RNAcentral describes it as "bacterial SSU rRNA". It matches the Rfam family "Bacterial small subunit ribosomal RNA", at positions 340 to 786 of the family's 1533-position model. The record is from RNAcentral.